RNAcentral lists this ribosomal RNA (2111 nucleotides) under Salmonella enterica subsp. enterica serovar Agona. RNAcentral's name for it is "partial 23S ribosomal RNA". It matches the Rfam family "Bacterial large subunit ribosomal RNA", at positions 711 to 2802 of the family's 2925-position model. The record is from RNAcentral. Lineage: Bacteria; Pseudomonadati; Pseudomonadota; Gammaproteobacteria; Enterobacterales; Enterobacteriaceae.
AGACCCGAAACCCGGUGAUCUAGCCAUGGGCAGGUUGAAGGUUGGGUAACACUAACUGGAGGACCGAACCGACUAAUGUUGAAAAAUUAGCGGAUGACCUGUGGCUGGGGGUGAAAGGCCAAUCAAACCGGGAGAUAGCUGGUUCUCCCCGAAAGCUAUUUAGGUAGCGCCUCGUGAAUUCAUCUCCGGGGGUAGAGCACUGUUUCGGCUAGGGGGCCAUCCCGGCUUACCAACCCGAUGCAAACUGCGAAUACCGGAGAAUGUUAUCACGGGAGACACACGGCGGGUGCUAACGUCCGUCGUGAAGAGGGAAACAACCCAGACCGCCAGCUAAGGUCCCAAAGUCAUGGUUAAGUGGGAAACGAUGUGGGAAGGCCCAGACAGCCAGGAUGUUGGCUUAGAAGCAGCCAUCAUUUAAAGAAAGCGUAAUAGCUCACUGGUCGAGUCGGCCUGCGCGGAAGAUGUAACGGGGCUAAACCAUGCACCGAAGCUGCGGCAGCGACACUCAGGUGUUGUUGGGUAGGGGAGCGUUCUGUAAGCCUGCGAAGGUGGCCUGUGAGGGUUGCUGGAGGUAUCAGAAGUGCGAAUGCUGACAUAAGUAACGAUAAAGCGGGUGAAAAGCCCGCUCGCCGGAAGACCAAGGGUUCCUGUCCAACGUUAAUCGGGGCAGGGUGAGUCGACCCCUAAGGCGAGGCCGAAAGGCGUAGUCGAUGGGAAACGGGUUAAUAUUCCCGUACUUGGUGUUACUGCGAAGGGGGGACGGAGAAGGCUAUGUUGGCCGGGCGACGGUUGUCCCGGUUUAAGCGUGUAGGUGUGUGUUCCAGGUAAAUCCGGUUCACUUUAACACUGAGGCGUGACGACGAGGCACUACGGUGCUGAAGCAACAAAUGCCCUGCUUCCAGGAAAAGCCUCUAAGCAUCAGGUAACAUCAAAUCGUACCCCAAACCGACACAGGUGGUCAGGUAGAGAAUACCAAGGCGCUUGAGAGAACUCGGGUGAAGGAACUAGGCAAAAUGGUGCCGUAACUUCGGGAGAAGGCACGCUGACACGUAGGUGAAGUGAUUUACUCAUGGAGCUGAAGUCAGUCGAAGAUACCAGCUGGCUGCAACUGUUUAUUAAAAACACAGCACUGUGCAAACACGAAAGUGGACGUAUACGGUGUGACGCCUGCCCGGUGCCGGAAGGUUAAUUGAUGGGGUCAGCGCAAGCGAAGCUCCUGAUCGAAGCCCCGGUAAACGGCGGCCGUAACUAUAACGGUCCUAAGGUAGCGAAAUUCCUUGUCGGGUAAGUUCCGACCUGCACGAAUGGCGUAAUGAUGGCCAGGCUGUCUCCACCCGAGACUCAGUGAAAUUGAACUCGCUGUGAAGAUGCAGUGUACCCGCGGCAAGACGGAAAGACCCCGUGAACCUUUACUAUAGCUUGACACUGAACAUUGAGCCUUGAUGUGUAGGAUAGGUGGGAGGCUUUGAAGUGUGGACGCCAGUCUGCAUGGAGCCGACCUUGAAAUACCACCCUUUAAUGUUUGAUGUUCUAACGUGGACCCGUUACCCGGGUUGCGGACAGUGUCUGGUGGGUAGUUUGACUGGGGCGGUCUCCUCCUAAAGAGUAACGGAGGAGCACGAAGGUUGGCUAAUCCUGGUCGGACAUCAGGAGGUUAGUGCAAUGGCAUAAGCCAGCUUGACUGCGAGCGUGACGGCGCGAGCAGGUGCGAAAGCAGGUCAUAGUGAUCCGGUGGUUCUGAAUGGAAGGGCCAUCGCUCAACGGAUAAAAGGUACUCCGGGGAUAACAGGCUGAUACCGCCCAAGAGUUCAUAUCGACGGCGGUGUUUGGCACCUCGAUGUCGGCUCAUCACAUCCUGGGGCUGAAGUAGGUCCCAAGGGUAUGGCUGUUCGCCAUUUAAAGUGGUACGCGAGCUGGGUUUAGAACGUCGUGAGACAGUUCGGUCCCUAUCUGCCGUGGGCGCUGGAGAACUGAGGGGGGCUGCUCCUAGUACGAGAGGACCGGAGUGGACGCAUCACUGGUGUUCGGGUUGUCAUGCCAAUGGCACUGCCCGGUAGCUAAAUGCGGAAGAGAUAAGUGCUGAAAGCAUCUAAGCACGAAACUUGCCCCGA